Long non-coding RNA from Medicago truncatula (barrel medic), 477 nucleotides. RefSeq lists it as uncharacterized. NCBI's taxonomy places the organism in Eukaryota, Viridiplantae, Streptophyta, Magnoliopsida, Fabales, Fabaceae. The transcript has 2 exons. The record is from RefSeq and is a predicted model, not a curated record.
AUUUUUAUAUAUUGUAAAUUGAUAAAAAUAUAUUCUAUCUCUUACAUUUAAAGAGGAAAAAAUAUGUCUGAAAUUGUCAAAUUUAUUUAUCUUAUGAUUAUCUUUCUUUCACUAUUUAUUGUUGCAAUGAACGCCAAUGCAUUUUCUAUAUGUCAAAACAAUUCUGAUUGUAAAGAUCAGGAAAUAUGCUUGCCUCCUAAAAAACAUUGGUGCAAUAAGAUUGUGCCAGUUAUGAUCGAGGAAACAAUGGUAGGUAAUUGUGAAUGUAUUUGAGUUAAUGUACCCGUAAGAUUCUGCUAGAAAUUUCCAUAAGUUUUUAUUUAUUAAUUGUGUAGGAACCCAAUAAUUUAUAUUUUCUUCCUUUUAUAAUUUCAUGGAGCAUAAAAAUAAUUGUGAUUUUGUACUAAAUAAUAUGAUUGUAAAGUUAUGAAAUAGGGAUGUAAUGAAUAAUGUUUAGAUUUUUUUCUUCUCUCUUUA